This is a long non-coding RNA of Dermochelys coriacea (leatherback sea turtle), 5082 nucleotides long. RefSeq lists it as uncharacterized. The record is from RefSeq and is a predicted model, not a curated record. NCBI's taxonomy places the organism in Eukaryota, Metazoa, Chordata, Testudines, Dermochelyidae. The transcript is spliced from 3 exons.
CUCAUUGUUAGAAAUUUUGUCCUAAUAUUCUGAUAGUCUUAUUGUAAUGUUCAGUGUGAUAUGUAUGACCUAGUAUUUGAAUAUUGAAAGAGGGAUUCAUGAUAACUCAAUAAUGGAAUGAUUUGUAUGCUAAAACACACAUUAAAAAAAUAGAGCCAGCCUGGACCCCAAGCCUGCUACCAUGGAUGUGCUUAACUUUAAGCACAUGAAUCUAAUGCUUAAAGUUAGGCAUGUGCAUAAGCAUUGGCAGGAUUGUUCUGGAUUGUAUUAUACCAUGUGAAGAAGCAGCAGCUAUGUAUGAGGCUACGUCCAAACAGGGAUAAAAACCCCAAGCUUAUGGGGGCUCAGGGUCUGCGGCUGAGAAAUUGCUUUGUAGGUGUUCUGGCUUGGGCUGGAGCCUGAGCUUUGGGACAUUGUGAGGGUGGAGGGUCCAAGAGCUUGGAAUCCAGCCCGAUCCUGAAUGUGUGUGCAGUGAUUUUUAGCCCCGCAGCUUGAGCCCAGGGCAGCCGUGGCCACAGAUCUUUUAUCCCUGUGUAAACAAACCCUGAGAGGCCACAUAACUUUCCUUUGCUAUUUCCUUUGCUAGACAUGCACAGAGAGGAUAUUACAGCAUCAGUGAUUCACAGAAGGGUAUUCAACAUAUUUUUUCAAACAAUAUUAUUGUGCGGUCUUGUCACUUAGUAGCUAAUACUAUUAACUACUGAAAUGUAAUAGAUCAACCUGAAUAAGUAUCUUCCACUUCCUCUCCAAGAGUACCUCUGAUCCCUGAGGGUGAUGGAGUCCCUUGUUCCUUUCUCCUCCCUGAUCCCCUUUAGGACCAAUGAGACCUGUGCUCAGAGCGACCAGUGUUCCAGUUAGUGACCGGGUGUACAAAGGACUAACAACCCGAUUAUCAUUUGGAUAUUACCAAACUGCUACAGCAACCACAUAAAAAUAAAGUUUAUUCCUUGGGCAAGAGAGGGAUAAAAUAAAAGUAUAGGGGAACAGGCAGAGGUCUCAGGGAUGUUAACUAAACAAGGCCCCAACCAAUCUUGCAACAACUGAUAGCCCACAACAAAAUCAAUAUAAUAAGAAACUCUCACCUCUCCUCAGAGUCCCUGUCACAAUCUCAAGAGUUAACUGCAACUUCCCCUCACCUCCUUCCCCCACGUCUUCCUUGAGGGCACCCCCUUAAGGGUUCCAUUCUUAGCUGUCACCUCUCCAGGCAGAGACCUGUAUCUCUCUCCCGUUCCAGACCAGGGGUUUAGGUUUACUGUCCCGCUGCACCUAACUCUCCUCAGCAGGUGUGACCGGGAUCCACUACCUGUGGUUAACCUCUGUCCAGGGGCUCUAAUAGUGUACACCAGUUAGCAACCAGCCUUCAAAAAGUAAGCUACAUUUAUUCUUAGGGUAAAAGCAUUACAGAGAAGACCUAUAAAAACAAUAAAAUAACCUACAUGCAUGCUGGAAGCUUACCAGAGCUUAAUGGAGAAAACAUGGAAUAGGGACUGCUUGUGAGAGAGGAGGAACAUGUGCACUCGGGGAAAACAAGGAGAGAGACAUAGAAGAGAGACUCUGCUCACAUGCUGUGUCCCUACUUAAAAACCUCUGUAUGUGCUGUGCAAAACCAGUGUUGUUUUUCAGAUUGUUUAGAAGUGAUGAUUUCAUUGUAUCUGAUGGCGUUCAUCCACCUUCCAGGAUAUUGUAAGGUAUCCUUGGCAAGGAGGAUCCUUGCCACAUAAAGAGCUCCCUCUCUUUACCUUUGUCUGUUAUUGAAAUACAGCAGAUUGCACUAAAUGGCAUAUGUGGUACAGCUGUACCACAUAUAAGACUAUAUCACAAUUAUGGUCCCCUGCAAAGUCUUUAUCCCUCCCACCCCUGUAGAGGUUACUCAGUUUGACCUCUCUAACAUAUUUCAAUGUGUUCAGGAGAUUUUUGUUUCCAAAACAUUUGAGGCAAAGUUUUCAAUUCUGGGUCCUUAAUGCGGUAUUACUAACUUCAAGUGAUAAAAAAUUAGGAGCCAUGCCUAAAAAAAAUGAGAUUGGCUUAAAAAUAAUAAAUGUUAGAUUCUUUGUAUUUGCUUUCUGGUUUUUGCUUCUUCAGGGUUCCCAUUUUCAAGCUUUUGAUUGCAACCACAAGGUCUAGAAAUAUAUUCAAGAUGAGAUUCUCAUGUAAUCACUUGACCUCAGGAUCCAGGACUUAAAUAAAAACAUCAAAUAUCUCAAGACUCAAAAUAAAACUGUGGUAGGGACUUAAGCUCUUAUUUCCAUUCCUUUUUUCUUCUUCUUCUUUUCUUCUUUGUAUGGCUGAUGUAGAGCAACAACUAUAAUUUUACAUGGAAAUGGUUAAGCCAGAUAAUUAUAUCAGGAGUCGCAGAGUGCAUCACUGUGAUGCCUCCUUCAUAUUUGUGAAUUGGGCAUUGAAUUGUUAUAUAUUCCAUGGUCUGCUCCGGGUUAUCACAGUCGCACACUGGAGAGUCUAAUUUUCCAUUUGUGCAGCAAGUAUCCAUAUAUGCUAACUACAAGAUAUUAAGAGGUGCUAAGAACUUGCCACUCCCAGUGAUUCCUGCACCUUUGAAAAACAGGUUGUUGUUGUUGUUGUUUAGGUGUCUCACAACAGACACCCGGGUUUCAAAAUUUUGACAAUAAAGAAUUAUAGAAAGAACUGGAAGUUAUGGUUCAGAGACUGUUGUAAUGGAAAUUAUAUUUCCCAGUGCCUCAACCCUCCCCGCAUAUUACAGUUGACCCUUACUUCAAAAUCAAAAAGUGGGCUAGUUUGCGAUGAACACAGGAUGAGUCAUACUUAUGAUUCAACAGUGUCCCUGACAGUAAACCCAUAACUAUAGCAGAUUACAGAAUGUGCAAUGCUAAAUAUGUGUACUUUUCAAAGGAGCAAUUUUUCACCCUCAGCUUUUGUAUAUCUUUAGUGACCUGGUGUGGUGGUGAAAUGUAGUCCUAGUUUAAUGUUGCUCUUAAAAAACUACUAUUAUAAAUUCAAUUGUGUAGAUUAUUCUCCAGUCUAAUAAAUAUUGUGUCAGUGCUGCACUGACACAAUAUCCAUGUUGCAACUCAGAGCUCUAUAGGACACCUAAAGCGUGUGCCUCAGUGGUAUGGCCUCCCUCACUUGUUUUCAAAUGAGAUGAUGGAUGAACCUCAUGGUCUUGCAUCUAUCCCAAAUUCUCCUAUCACAUCUUGUCUAAAAAGGUGGUGAGAGACAUCCAUUUCUUUUGUAGAGUGUGUGCAUUUGAAAGAUCUAUUGUACUUUCAAUUGAUUCAGUUCUUGUGAAAAAAAUAUUAAAAUUAAAGUAAAUGUAAGGCAAUAUUGUGGUUUAAGUCAAUUAAAUGAGGGUGCAGUAAACUGCUCUCUCAGUGUUUCAUGACAUGCUUUGCUUGUAUCUAAGGAGAUCUCAUCUUACUUGAAAAUCUAGUCUGAAAAACAGGCUGAGUUUAAGUCCAGAUGGAAAUAGAAUAAUUUUAAACGUCAAGGGCAGAUCCUCAGCAGGUAUAAAAUGCCAUAGUCCAGUUGAGUAAUAACAAUUUACACCAUGGUUCUGUAGGACAGAGCUAACUUCCAUAAUACUUGUUUAGCAAAUGUAAGACCCUAGUCAAGAAUGCUCUUCUGGGCUUAAGAUGUGUAUCUGUUCUAGUCAAAUGUAUUUUAUUUCUCAAAAAAAUGACUAGCUUUCAAAUUUAAAUCAAUAAAGAUGUAACUUUAAAACAGUAUAGUUCUAGCUGCAUAACUCCCAAUGAUUUAAGUGGACUCUGUGAACCUGUGAAUGGGGACUUUAUGAACCAAAAUGCACCCUCUUUUAAAACGUUCCAUACUAUCUCACUGGAGGCUGCCUUAUAUAUGUGUUGGUCAUUUCAGAGUAUAUCAUAUUUCUUAUCAAAGCUUUAAUAUUGGUGUCAUUCACCAAUCAACUGAAGAAGGACCUGAAUUCUUUAAAAUAAGAGAUUUAAAUCCUUUGGCUGUAGCACACAUGGAUGCAUUUUGGAAUUUACUUUUUCUUCUCAUUAGAAAAAUGUAGGAAUAUGCUCAGGAUAAUAGUGUGUUAACAAGAUUGCACAGCUCUGAAAUGCCAUAAAACCUGUUACAUAAGAGUGAUAAAACAUUAUUCGCAUAGGCACAUUUUCAGACUUCAGUUAACUUAAAAAUCAAGAUGGUAUGUCAGCUUCAGUAUCUUCAAUCAAUUGAUGACAUCUUUAAAAGAAACAAAUAUAUUUCUUAUAGUGUAUCAAUUCAAGGUUUACUUAUUUCAGCUGCUUUUAAUUCUUUUCUUAUUCUUCUUGACAAAUCUUGUCGAAAUGCCAGGGAAAAUACCAUCACAUUGUCAAAUUAACCUUUUUCCGUCAUUAUGUAAAUUUUUGCUAAAUAAUAAAAAAAUUAAAGCUUUGAUCAACAAAAAAGAUUAUUUUUGCCCAUCAAACAAAGUCCUCUAUCCCCUAACAAAGCCUGGAGUAGAUUAAUUCUUGCUAGGACAAAAUUAGUUAGCACAGACUGAGGGCCAUAUUAAUAAGGAACCAUUAUUCUUGUUGAUUAUUUACAAGGGUAGCGUUGUGGGAAUACUCAUAUGAAUAAGUGCUCACCAGCAGUAGGUUGCACAGUUGACCUUAAGGAUAUUCUUUUCCUAGUCUACUGUUGUUUAAAAUAUGCCAAUAAUGUUGGUUGUGGCUGCAUAUUUAAUUUUGAGUUUCAUUUUGUAGUUAAAAGGCAAAGCAGGGAUUCAGACUCUUUGUUAUGUUUUUAAAAUGUAGUAUCCUCUAAAUGGUAACACUGUUUGAGUACAGAAUGAAUUUUCUCUGGAUUUACAAGUAAAUCAAUUAAUUAGUUUGUCUUAAAAUUUAUUUUAAAAUGACUGUCUUGGAUGAGUCAUUUCUUUUCUCGAAAUGAUUUUAUUAAUGGAUAACCGCAGAUUCAUCAAAAUUCCCAUAUAGUUAAAAUCCUUUGAAAUUUUGCACAUAAGGCUAUAUUUGUAGAAAUUAGGUAGUAAUUAAGUUACUGAUUGUUGCAUCUAUUUUAUGAUUAUAUAUACUACAAUAAAGGGUCAGGUCAGUGGCUCAGAUAGUUCUUAAGUGGGGCCAUUGUGAUAUCAGAGAUCAUGUU